Molecule: ribosomal RNA, 560 nt
Filed under: Lachnospira eligens
Lineage: Bacteria; Bacillati; Bacillota; Clostridia; Lachnospirales; Lachnospiraceae
Description: [Eubacterium] eligens partial 23S ribosomal RNA
Rfam family: Bacterial large subunit ribosomal RNA
Source: RNAcentral
GACUUAAGGUCCGGAGCCGAAGCGAAAGCGAGUGUUAAAAGCACGGUUGAAUCGCUUAUCAUAGACCCGAAACCGGGUGAUCUAUCCAUGUCCAGGUUGAAGCUGCCGUAAGAGGUAGUGGAGGACCGAACACACAUCCGUUGAAAAGGGUGGUGAUGAGGUGUGGAUAGGGGAGAAAUUCCAAUCGAACCCGGAGAUAGCUGGUUCUCCUCGAAAUAGCUUUAGGGCUAGCCUCUGGUUAGUCUGCCGCAGGUAGAGCACUGAAUUUCCUAGGGGGCGUCAAAGCCUACCGAAGAAUAUCAAACUGCGAAUGGCGGACAGAUGAUGCCAGGGAGUCAGACUGCACGAGAUAAGUUGGGUGGUCAAAAGGGAAAGAGCCCAGACCUACAGCUAAGGUCCCAAAGUGUGUGUUAAGUGGAAAAGGAUGUGGGAUUUCGAAGACAACUAGGAUGUUGGCUCAGAAGCAGCCACACAUUAAAAGAGUGCGUAAUAGCUCACUAGUCGAGAGGUCCUGCGCCGAAAAUGUCCGGGGCUAAAACACAACACCGAAGCUUAGGAAU